UGGGGAAUAUUGCACAAUGGGGGAAACCCUGAUGCAGCGACGCCGCGUGAGCGAAGAAGUAUUUCGGUAUGUAAAGCUCUAUCAGCAGGGAAGAAAAUGACGGUACCUGACUAAGAAGCCCCGGCUAACUACGUGCCAGCAGCCGCGGUAAUACGUAGGGGGCAAGCGUUAUCCGGAUUUACUGGGUGUAAAGGGAGCGUAGACGGAUCUGCAAGUCUGGAGUGAAAGCCCGGGGCUCAACCCCGGGACUGCUUUGGAAACUGUCAGACUGGAGUACCGGAGAGGUAAGCGGAAUUCCUAGUGUAGCGGUGAAAUGCUUAGAUAUUAGGAGGAACACCAGUGGCGAAGGCGGCUUGCUGGACGACAACUGACGCUGAGGCGCGAAAGCGUGGGGAGCAAACAGGAUUAGAUACCC
Molecule: ribosomal RNA, 415 nt
Filed under: uncultured bacterium
Lineage: Bacteria
Description: bacterial SSU rRNA
Rfam family: Bacterial small subunit ribosomal RNA
Source: RNAcentral